GACGAACGCUGGCGGCGUGCUUAACACAUGCAAGUCGAACGGAAAGGCCCUGCUUUUGUGGGGUGCUCGAGUGGCGAACGGGUGAGUAACACGUGAGUAACCUGCCCUUGACUUUGGGAUAACUUCAGGAAACUGGGGCUAAUACCGGAUAGGAGCUCCUGCUGCAUGGUGGGGGUUGGAAAGUUUCGGCGGUUGGGGAUGGACUCGCGGCUUAUCAGCUUGUUGGUGGGGUAGUGGCUUACCAAGGCUUUGACGGGUAGCCGGCCUGAGAGGGUGACCGGCCACAGUGGGCCUGGGAAGCGGCCCAGACGCCUACGGGGGGAAGGAGGGGGGAAUAUGGGAACAAGGGCGGAGGCCUGAAGAAGCCCCGCCGGGGGGGGAAAGCCGGCCUUGGGGUUGAAAACCUCUUUCGCGUGUAACGAAGCGUGUGGGAGGGAAAUGGGUAAAAAAGCACCGCCAAACAAGGG
RNAcentral lists this ribosomal RNA (467 nucleotides) under uncultured bacterium. RNAcentral describes it as "partial 16S ribosomal RNA". It matches the Rfam family "Bacterial small subunit ribosomal RNA", at positions 28 to 506 of the family's 1533-position model. The record is from RNAcentral.